GACGAACGCUGGCGGCGUGCUUAACACAUGCAAGUCGAACGGAAAGGCCCUGCUUGCAGGGUACUCGAGUGGCGAACGGGUGAGUAACACGUGGGUGAUCUGCCCUGCACUUCGGGAUAAGCCUGGGAAACUGGGUCUAAUACCGGAUAGGAGCCAUUUUUAGUGUGAUGGUUGGAAAGUUUUUUCGGUGUAGGAUGAGCUCGCGGCCUAUCAGCUUGUUUGUGGGGUAAUGGCCUACCAAGGCGGCGACGGGUAGCCGGCCUGGGAGGGUGGACGGCCACAUUGGGACUGAGAUACGGCCCAGACUCCUACGGGAGGCAGCAGUGGGGAAUAUUGCACAAUGGGCGCAAGCCUGAUGCAGCGACGCCGCGUGGGGGAUGACGGCCUUCGGGUUGUAAACUCCUUUCGCUAGGGACGAAGCUUUUUGUGACGGUACCUAGAUAAGAAGCACCGGCUAACUACGUG
Molecule: ribosomal RNA, 465 nt
Filed under: uncultured bacterium
Lineage: Bacteria
Description: partial 16S ribosomal RNA
Rfam family: Bacterial small subunit ribosomal RNA
Source: RNAcentral